AGAAAGAUCGUGCCAGCNGCCGCGGUAAUACAUGGAUGNGAAAAUCUGGGGCUCAACCCCAGACCUGCNUCCGAUACGGUCGAGCUAGAGUUUGGUAGGGGAGACUGGAAUUCCUGGUGUAGCGGUGGAAUGCGCAGAUAUCAGGAGGAACACCAAUGGCGAAGGCAGGUCUCUGGGCCAAUACUGACACUGAGGAGCGAAAGCGUGGGGAGCGAACAGGAUUAGAUACCCUGGUAGUCCACGCCGUAAACGGUGGGCGCUAGUUGUGGGAACCUUCCACGGUUUCUGCGGCGCAGCUAACGCAUUAAGCGCCCCGCCUGGGGAGUACGAUCGCAAGAUUAAAACUCAAAGGAAUUGACGGGGCCCCGCACAAGCAGCGGAGCAUGCGGCUUAAUUCGACGCAACGCGAAGAACCUUACCAAGGCUUGACAUAUACAGGAAUAUGGCAGAGAUGUCAUAGCGGUAAAACGUCUGUAUACAGGUGGUGCAUGGUUGUCGUCAGCUCGUGUCGUGAGAUGUUGGGUUAAGUCCCGCAACGAGCGCAACCCUCGUUCUGUGUUGCCAGCAUUUAGUUGGGGACUCACAGGAGACUGCCGGGGUUAACUCGGAGGAAGGUGGGGAUGACGUCAAAUCAUCAUGCCCCUUAUGUCUUGGGCUGCACGCAUGCUACAAUGGCUGGUACAAAGGGCUGCAAUACUGCAAAGUGGAGCGAAUCCCAAAAAGCCAGUCUCAGUUCGGAUUGGGGUCUGCAACUCGACCCCAUGAAGUCGGAGUUGCUAGUAAUCGUAGAUCAGCAACGCUACGGUGAAUACGUUCCCGGGGCUUGUACACACCGCCCGUCAUCUUGCUGAAAAAC
This 856-nucleotide ribosomal RNA is filed under the name uncultured Candidatus Planktophila sp. RNAcentral's name for it is "bacterial SSU rRNA". It matches the Rfam family "Bacterial small subunit ribosomal RNA", at positions 560 to 1413 of the family's 1533-position model. Lineage: Bacteria; Bacillati; Actinomycetota; Actinomycetes; Candidatus Nanopelagicales; Candidatus Nanopelagicaceae. The record is from RNAcentral.